UGGUGCCUGGGGUUACGGCUCCGGGUGAAAAGGGAACCGGGUGUGAAUCCCGGACAGACGGCGCUGCUGUGUGCCCCUGGUGAGAUUCCCGCAGUGGACCACUGCGUGGCGUCCCUGUAGCAAGGGACGACGUGGGAAGGGACAGUGCAAGAAAGGGAAGGGGCGAGUCAGAAGACCUGCCAAAUC
Molecule: non-coding RNA, 186 nt
Filed under: bovine gut metagenome
Source: RNAcentral